Molecule: ribosomal RNA, 266 nt
Filed under: uncultured bacterium
Lineage: Bacteria
Description: partial 16S ribosomal RNA
Rfam family: Bacterial small subunit ribosomal RNA
Source: RNAcentral
GUCCACGCCGUAAACGAUGAGUACUAGUUGUAAUGGGAAUAAACCCCUGUUGUAACGUAAGCAAACGCAUUAAGUACUCCGCCUGGGAAGUACGGUCGCAAGACUAAAACUCAAAGGAAUUGACGGGGGCCCGCACAAGCGGUGGAUUAUGUGGUUUAAUUCGAAACAACGCGCAAAACCUUACCUGGGUUUGAAAUCCCGAGAAUCUCUGCAAAACAGGGAGUGCCCGCAAGGGAAUUCGGUGACAGGCGCUGCAUGGCUGUCGU